This 514-nucleotide long non-coding RNA is filed under the name Homo sapiens (human). RNAcentral describes it as "non-protein coding lnc-CDH11-12:3". The record is from RNAcentral. Lineage: Eukaryota; Metazoa; Chordata; Mammalia; Primates; Hominidae.
AAAACUCGAGUACCUCUGAGGGAAAGCCGGACCCCUUGUCCAUCCUCUCCUGUUGGAGGAAUGAGGAGUUCAAAGGCCACGUCCACACAGAGGGUGACAGAGGCAUCCUCUCCGCGCAGGACGCGGACUGGGGGCAGGCACGCAGCGCCACCCGGAUCCUGGAGUCGUCAAGAAAAACGCGGGCGCGCAGGCCGAAGAGGAAAUCACUGUGUUUUCAGCUCAGCGGCCCUGUGACAUUCCUUCGUGUUGUCAUUUGUUGAGUGACCAAUCAGAUGGGUGGAGUGUGUUACAGAAAUUGGCAGCAAGUAUCCAAUGGGUGAAGAAGAAGCUAACUGGGGACGUGGGCAGCCCUGACGUGAUGAGCUCAACCAGCAGAGACAUUCCAUCCCAAGAGAGGUCUGCGUGACGCGUCCGGGAGGCCACCCUCAGCAAGACCACCGUACAGUUGGUGGAAGGGGUGACAGCUGCAUUCUCCUGUGCCUACCACGUAACCAAAAAUGAAGGAGAACUACUG